This 522-nucleotide ribosomal RNA is filed under the name Taphrina sp. NRP147. Its description in RNAcentral is "LSU rRNA". It matches the Rfam family "Eukaryotic large subunit ribosomal RNA", at positions 90 to 625 of the family's 3401-position model. Lineage: Eukaryota; Fungi; Ascomycota; Taphrinomycetes; Taphrinales; Taphrinaceae. The record is from RNAcentral.
CGAGCGAAGCAGGCAUAGCUCAAAUUUGUAAUCUGGCGCCUUUGGCGUCCGAGUUGUAUUUUCUAGAAGCGAGUUCGGCGACAGCUCCUACCCAAGUCCGUUGGAACGCGGCGUCAUGGAGGGUGAGAAUCCCGUGAAUGGUAGGAUGUCUGCUGCUAUGUGAACCGCCUUCGAAGAGUCGAGUUGUUUGGGAAUGCAGCUCUAAAUGGGAGGUAAAUUUCUUCUAAAGCUAAAUAUUGGCCAGAGACCGAUAGCGAACAAGUAGAGUGAUCGAAAGAUGAAAAGAACUUUGAAAAGAGAGUUAAACAGUACGUGAAAUUGUUGAAAGGGAAGCGCUUGAGAUCAGACUUCCUGUCUGGACUGUCCUUGCUUUUGCUUGGGUCAACAGUCCAGGCGUGGAGGCCAGCAUCAGUUUUGACGGCCGGAUAAAGGCCUUGGGAAGGUAGCUCCUCUCGGGGAGUGUUAUAGCCCAGGGUGUAAUACGGCCAGUUGGGACUGAGGACCGCGGCUUUGCCUAGGAUG